RNAcentral lists this long non-coding RNA (6680 nucleotides) under Salmo salar (Atlantic salmon). RNAcentral describes it as "lncRNA (ENSSSAG00000092531.1)". Lineage: Eukaryota; Metazoa; Chordata; Actinopteri; Salmoniformes; Salmonidae. The record is from RNAcentral.
UUUCUGUAAAAACAACUUCUGAACAGGACAUCUUUGUGGAUGGAUAGAAUGGGGUUUGGUCAGGGAGGGAAGGGCCAGAGUUCUUUUAAAAACUAUACAUCACAGUUGGUAAGUUCAAGACAGCGUUUUUUGUUGAGACAUCAAUGGGUUUACCUGGCUUGAUACAGGAAGAAGGUAGAUUAUUAUAACUGUUUUCUUUAGGAGGUAGAUCAGCUUUAAUAUUGCAUAUCUAUAGAUCGUAGCUUCCAUCAAUGUAAUUGUCUGCAUCAUGUCCAAUUCCCCAAGGUUAAUUUGUUGAUUGCAUUGCCUUUGACGUGAUCCAAUAAAAACAACUGUUCACAAAAAAAGGACAUAUGUUUUUGGCGUUUUAACCAUCACUGUUUAAUGACUCCACAAUUAUAUCUGACACAAACAGCUAAACAUGAAUGACAUGAACUGUGAAGAUAGUGGUGCAGCAGCAUAGAAGAACCACAAACAAAAGUAGAAUACAAAUCUGUGCAUUUGAUUUUCAUAAACCAACCAAUACAUGAAAAACAACUAUUGGUGUUGUUGUAGCUUUAAACUACUAGAUAAUUGAUAUCUACAAUGGAUAGAUCAGGAGAAAUUGACCAUUUCAGUUGUGCAAGCUACAGAAGUUUUUGGAGCAGAGAUGAGACCGUCAAGCCUAUAUCAAUGAUCUUUGUAAAGGCACCAGUCAUAUUUUUAUGGUAACCAGGCCACAAUGGCACAAAUAGGGGCUUCAGCCAGCCGAUAUGCCCCCAGCAAGUUCAGACGUCAGAGGUGGAUCCUCCACCUGCCCAGAUGUCAAUCCAAUGUCAGAUUAAAAUGUAACAUGUAUACACUAAAAGUGCCAUCAAACAAUGGCAUCUUAAUAUACAGUUAAAGUUGGAAGUUUACAUACACCUUAGCCAAAUACAUUUAAACUCAGUUUUCACAAUUCCUGACAUUUAAUCCUAGUAAAACAUUCCCUGUCUUAGGUCAGUUAGGAUCACCACUUUAUUUUAAGAAUGUGAGAUGUCAGAAUAAUAGUAGAGAGAAUGAUUUAAUUCAGCUUUUAUUUCUUUCAUCACAUUCCUAGUAGGUCAUACGUUUACAUAUAUUCAAUUAGUAUUUGGUAGCAUUGCUGUUAAAUUGUUUAACUUGGAUCAAACAUUUCGGGUAGCCUUCCACAAGCUUCCCACAAUAAAUUUAUUGUGGGUGAAUUUUUGUCCCAUUCCUCCUGGCAAAGCUGGUGUAACUGAGUCAGGUUUGUAGGCCUCCUUUUUCAGUUCUGCCCACAAAUAUUGUAGAGGAUUGAGGUCAGGGCUUUGUGAUGGCCACUCCAAUACCUUGACUUUGGUGUCCUUAAGCCAUUAUGCCACGACUUUGGAAGUAUGCUUGGGCUCAUUGUCCAUUUGGAAGACCCAUUUGCGACCAAGCUUUAACUUCCUGACUGAUGUCUUGAGAUGUUGCUUCAAUAUAUCCACAUAAUUCAUACCUCACAAUGCCAUCUAUUUUGUGAAGUGCACCAGUCCCUCCUGCAGCAAAGCACCCCCACAACAUGAUGCUGCCACCCCCGUGCUUCACGGUUGGGAUGGUAUUCUUCAGCUUGCAAGCAUCCCCCUUUUUCCUCCAAACAUAACGAUGGUCAUUAUGGCCAAACAGUUCUAUUUUUGUUUCAUCAGACCAGAGGACAUUUCUCCAAAAAGUAUGAUCUUUGUCCCCAUGUGCAGUUGCAAACCGUAGUCUGGCUUUUUUUAUGGCGGUUUUGGAGCAGUGGCUUCUUCCUUGCAGAACGGCCUUUCAGGUUAUGUCGAUACAGGACUUGUUUUACUGUGGAUAUAGAUACUUAUGUACCUGUUUCCUCCAGCAUCUUCACAAGGUCCUUUGCUGUUGUUCUGGGAUUGAUUUGCACUUUUCACACCAAAGUACGUUCAUCUCUAGGAGACAGAACGCGUCUCCUUCCUGAGCGCUACGAUGGCUGUGUGGUCCCAUGGUGCUUAUAUUUGCGUACUAUUGUUUGUACAGAUGAACGUGGUACCUUCAGGCGUUUGGAAAUUGCUCCUAAGGAUGAACCAGACUUGCGGAGGUCUACAAUUAUUUUUCUGAGGUCUUGGCUGAUUUCUUUUGACUUUCCCAUGAUGUCAAGCAAAGAGGCACUGAGUUUGAAGUUAGAAGCUUGUAAAGCCAUGACAUCAUUUUCUGGAAUUUUCCAAGCUGUUAAAAGGCACAGUCAACUUAGUGUAUGUAGACUUCUGACCCACUGGAAUUGUGAUACAGUGAAGUAUAAGUGAAAUAAUCUGUCUGUUAACAAUUGUUGGAAAAAUGACUUGUGUCAUGCACGAAGUAGAUGUCCUAACCAACUUGCCAAAACUAUAGUUUGUAUAGCAAUUUGUGGAGUGGUUGAAAAAUGAGUUUUAAUAACUCCAGCCUAAGUGUAUGUAAACUUCCGACUUCAACUGUAUUAUCCAGGUGAUGACUUGGUGAGAAAAAUUGUCAAAAUCAUAUCUGGCGUCAGGUAAGAUAUGUCUUUAAAACCAUGUAAAAACAAACAAUUUGUGUGACAGGUUUUGAUCAUGUAGCACAGUGGCAGCUACAGGAGCAUGCAGGGAAAGACAGCCGUGGAGAAUGGCAACAGAAUGUUCCCUGAGAAUAAUUACAAAAGCCUAAUAGAUUUCAAAUUCUGUCCAUGACCUUUGACAUUGUGGUAACUGAAGUCCACACGGUAAGUAGUGACCGAGCAUUCAUCGAUCUCUACCAUCAUCAUCAUCAUCAUCAUAAUAGUCUUGUGUUAUUAAUACAAGAAUAAUCAAUGCAGAGCUGAAUGUCUGAUAAAUACAGCGCCCACAGUGAGAAGGUUGGGGAUUUGGGGGGAAGGUGUUGGACAGGCCCAAUGUUGCCAAGUUACAUCCUUUUAAGAUUCAGAAAAUCCACCAUUCCCCUGGCACAGCUCCAGGUCUAUUAUGUGGCUUUCAAAAGGGUACUUACAUCAAAGGCCACUUUUAAAAAAAGUCUAGGAGAUACUUGAUUGUCAUCUGUGUUACAAACAAUGACUGUUUUUUCUGUACUGAUGUUGUGCACAAAUUGACUUGGUGUUAGGAUACACCAAGUUUAAUUAACAUUCCCUAUUGUAAUCAGUGUUUUAUAUUAAAAUGGAGAAUGGACUAUAGUUAAUUAUUAAUGAUGUCAAGACAACGGGAUUACAAGCCACACAUUUGAUGUGAACAAAAACCCCUGACAUGACUAGUAUGAACUUCAUGGACACAUUCAUAUACAAAUAGCAUGUACGACACUUCAACUAGAUUUAAAUAAUGGAAGACUAUGGGAAAUUGAUUGUUGCAAGCAAUCUAGUGAGUUUGAAAGUGAGUUCCUUAAAUAGGCUCCUCAAGGUAAAUAACAAAACCAUGACUUCUCUAUCAUUUAUGGUUCUUACGGUCUGUCUGUCCAUUGGUCCGUCUUCCACAGAUAUGUUUUAAAUGUGUUUUUAGAUCUACUCUCACAGAAAACAUCUGAUGUUGACCAUUGAAGGAGGCAGAAAAUGUAUCCAAUGUACAUUUUCAAAACAAAUAAAUAUAUUGCGGCACAUGAAGCAUUUUUCGGUUAUUGUCUGUGAACACUCAGACUUUUCCCAUUCGUUAAAUUGGACCACAUUUGUCUGCAUCAUUUAGGACAAUAGAACACUUAGUAAAACAGAGAUAGGGUAAAACCCUACUUUGCAAAUAUGGAUGAGAUUAUUGAUAAAUUAUUACUAGGCAUCAAACAGCAGUAAUUUCAACAGUGCUGCCCCCAUUGUUUUCUACAAUGAAAAAGACUUAAAUGGAUUUCGUUGACGAUGCAAAUACCAGUGUGUGUGUGUGUGUGUGGGCACAGCACUCUGGGGUUGGCAGGGGCGGAAGCGGCUGAAUGUGUGUGUGCACAUGAAAUGGAGCCGGAAUCUCACUUACAGGAAACAGUUAGGGAUUGGUCAUUAACAAUGAGAAAUCAAUUGCUUGUUGUGAUGUAACUAUCUAUGUAUGCACCACAAUACAAUCCCUGAAAUUUGCAGGUUCUCAGGGUCUGCAAAAGGCAUUCUACUGUACGCGUAACCAAUAGAAUGGUGAUAAACUCACCCACACAUCUUGAGUGACUUUUUCCCAUUCUAUCCAAUGUGUUUUUGUUUCACUAUCCAUGCUAUAUGAGCCCAGACAAAAAAACAAUUAACCAAACAACAGUACUAAAAACCAUUCAAUAAAUAACCUCAACCCAUUCUAAAAGAAAUUGAGUGGCUUCUUGAUACCAGAGGCUGUACCUGCCUGCCAGUCGGCCUCUCCUCAGCAAUCCUGGUCACUAGUGGGACGGAACAGUAGUAGACUGCUCUGUGUGCUCUGUGAGCCUUCAGAUCCAAAGGCUGGAGGAGGAGCCACAGACAGUUUUCUGGUGGACAUGAAGUAGAGAGGAGCCCACUCUAAAGCAUGGUUCUUCUCAGGCUGGGGCUGGAAACUGGUGGGGCGUGUUGGAAGGACCCCUCCCCCAACCCUGUGUCCCCUCGCUGGGCCACGUCUCUGGAGCAGGGUCCUGACCACACUGUCAUGGUCCUCAGCUCAGAGCCAGCGGCCUGUCCCCUGGGUGCGCUUCCGUCUCUUCUUACAGAUGUAGUAGAUAGGGAAGGCCACGAGGCCUGAGGAGAGAGCGGAGCAGAGCAGAGCAGGAGAGAACAGGCAGGUUAAUAUAUAGAGUGAGCAGUAAUCUCAGUGAAAUGACUGACAGUUAAUGCAUGCAAAUGAAGUGACAACUCCCACAAGGAAGUGGCCUUUUAUUGUCCCCAGCACAAGGUGCACCUGUGUAAUUAUCAUGCUGUGAAGGGGCGGCAGGUAGUCUGGCGGGUAGGAGCGUUGGGACAGUAACCCGAAAGGUAGCUGGAUCAGUUCCCCAAGCUGACAAGGUAAAAAUCUGUCGCUCUGCCCCUGAGCAAGGCAGUUAAACCACUGUUCCCGGGCGCCGAAGACGUGGAUGUCGAUUAAGGCAGCCCUCCGCACCUCUCAGAUUCAGAGGAGUUGGGUUAAAUGCGGAAGACACAUUUCAUUGCAUUCAGUUGUACAACUGACUAGGUAUCCCCCUUUCCCUUUAAUCCACUUCUUGAUAUGCCACACCUGUCAGAUGGAUGGAUUAUCUUGGCAAAGGAGAUAUGCUCACUAACAAGGAUGUAAACUAAUUUGUGCACAACAUUUGAGGGAAAUAUGCUUUUUGUGCGUAUGGAAAAUUUCUGGGAUCUUUUAUUUCAGCUCAUGAGACAUGGGACCAACACGUUACAUUUUAUAUUUUUGUUCAGUGUACAAUAUUUUUUAUCUGGAAACUUUCUAUUUUUGAUAUUGUUACUAUGCAAGUAACCAUUUCACUGUACCAUUUACACCUUCUGUAUAAUGUGCCUGUGACAAAUAAACGUAGAUUUUAUUUUAUAUAGUGUGUGUUUACCAGAGACGGUAAUGUGAAGAACAGCAUGACCUGAACCAAAGUCAGACUGGGAUAUAGGCCAAGGACUCAAUAAAGUGUAUUUUUACCUGGAGUUUUUGAAAUCUUUGGUUGUUUACUACACUACUUUACUCACUCUGUUUAGCACGUGACCUCACAUGAGAAUCCUUAAAGAGAUGGGUGGGGCUAAGGCUUAACCUGUUAGGGCUAGGGGGCAGUAUUGACACGGCCGGAUAAAAAACGUACCCGAUUUAAUCUGGUUAUUACUCCUGCCCAGUAACUAGAAUAUGCAUAUAAUUAUUGGCUUUGGAUAGAAAACACCCUAAAGUUUCUAAAACUGUUUGAAUGGUGUCUGUGAGUAUAACAGAACUCAAAUGGCAGGCCAAAACCUGAGAAGAUUCCGUGCAGGAAGUGGCCUGUCUGACAAGUUGUGUUUCAUCUUGGCUCUUUUUAUUGAAGACUGAGGAUCUUUGCUCUAACGUGACACUUCCUACGGCUCCCAUAGGCUCUCAGAGCCCGGGAAAAAGCUGAACGAUAUCGAGGCAGCCUCUGGCUGAAACACAUUAUCGCUUUUGGCAAGUGGCCGAUCAGAGUACUAUGGGCUUAGGCGCGUGCCCGAGUCGACUCUAUGCUUUAUUUUCUUUCGUCUGUUUACCUAAACGCAGAUUCCCGGUCGGAAUAUUAUCGCUUUUUUAUGAGAAAAAUGGCAUAAAAAUUGAUUUUAAACAGCGGUUGACAUGCUUCGAAGUACGGUAAUGGAAUAUUUAGAAUUUUUUUGUCACAAAUUGCGCCAUGCUCGUCACCCUUAUUUACCCUUUCGGAUAGUGUCUUGAACGCACGAACAAAACGCCGCUGUUUGGAUAUAACUAUGGAUUAUUUUGAACCAAACCAACAUUUGUUAUUGAAGUAGAAGUCCUGGGAGUGCAUUCUGACGAAGACAGCAAAGGUAAUAACAUUUUUCUUAUAGUAAAUCUGACUUUGGUGAGUGCUAAACUUGCUGGGUGUCUAAAUAGCUAGCCCUGUGAUGCCGGGCUAUCUACUGAGAAUAUUGCAAAAUGUGCUUUCACCGAAAAGCUAUUUUAAAAUCGGACACAUCGAGUGCAUAGAGGAGUUCUGUAUCUAUAAUUCUUUAAAUAAUUGUUAUGCUUUUUGUGAACGUUUAUCGUGAGUAAUUUAGUAAAUUCACCGGCAGUGUUCGGUGGGAAUGCUAGUCACAUGCUAGUCACAUGCUAAUGUAAAAAGCUGGUUUUUUU